CCCAUUUACUUCUACUUAUACUCAGUUACAUAGUACGACUAUAAGUUCACCUCAAGUAUACUUCUUGACGACACAUACCUUGAGCCCUCGCCCCUUAUCCUGUAAGCCCUACAAAGUACUCUUAUUUUUUACCAUAGGCCACCGCCGUAGCUAUUGCUAGUCAUCCUAGAUAUCUCUUCACGAUAUAUCUUAAUCUAUGAUAGUGGCACUACCUCCUGACUUAGUGAACAAGCUCAGAAGCACUGUAUAAGCCCCGACCUUACCUUAUACCCAGUGAGAAGCUUGCUAGGUUAGAGACUCGGUAGCACUAUAUUGCAGUUGGCAGUUGGAGUGUACUACAUAUAGAUGAUGGGAUGGAUGACCACACCUGCUGUGGGUUGAGUUGCAUCACUGCACUCAUAGAUAUAGUUAUCACUAUAAGUGCAAUCAUUUAAGAAAUGAUUAUGUUAAUAUUUUGUUAUGAACUUAUGAAUAAUCUGAUGAUCAUGGUGUUUGCUUAUAAAUUAUCACAGCAUCAAAGAGUCAGACAGAAGAAAUUAAGAUGUGAAAGCAGUAUUGAAAAAAUCUUUCACAGAAUAGAGUGGAUUUCUACUCAUAUUCAAAAGAUUAUAGAGCUA
RNAcentral lists this small RNA (617 nucleotides) under Histoplasma capsulatum. RNAcentral describes it as "hypothetical RNA". RNAcentral also lists the same sequence under 1 other name. Lineage: Eukaryota; Fungi; Ascomycota; Eurotiomycetes; Onygenales; Ajellomycetaceae. The record is from RNAcentral.